AAUCAACGCUGGCGGCGUGCCUAACACAUGCAAGUCGAACGCGAAAGCCCGCAAGGGUGAGUAGAGUGGCGCACGGGUGAGUAACACGUGGACAACCUGCCUUCGAGUGGGAAUAACCUUCCGAAAGGAGGGCUAAUACCGCAUAACACCUUGGGACACAAGUUCUGGGGUUGAAAAGAGCAAUUUGCUCGAAGAGGGGUCCGCGCCUGAUUAGCCAGUUGGUGAGGUAACGGCUCACCAAGGCUUCGAUCAGUAGCCGUCCUGAGAGGGAGCACGGCCACACUGGAACUGAGACACGGUCCAGACUCCUACGGGAGGCAGCAGUGGGGAAUUUUUGGCAAUGGGCGAAAGCCUGACCAAGCAACGCCGCGUGGGUGAUGAAGUAUCUUGGUACGUAAAACCCUUUCGGCAGGGGCGAACCUAAUGACGGUACCUGCGGAAGAAGCCCCGGCUAACUCCGUGCCAGCAGCCGCGGUAAUACGGGGGGGGCAAGCGUUGUUCGGAAUUACUGGGCGUAAAGGGCGCGUAGGCGGUUGGAUAAGUCAGCUGUGAAAACCACGAGCUUAACUCGUGGCCUGCAGUUGAGACUGUCUGGCUUGAGUGUGGGAGAGGAGAGUGGAAUUCCUGGUGUAGCGGUGAAAUGCGUAGAUAUCAGGAGGAACACCGGUGGCGAAGGCGGCUCUCUGGACCACAACUGACGCUGAGGCGCGAAAGCUAGGGGAGCAAACAGGAUUAGAUA
Molecule: ribosomal RNA, 739 nt
Filed under: uncultured bacterium
Lineage: Bacteria
Description: bacterial SSU rRNA
Rfam family: Bacterial small subunit ribosomal RNA
Source: RNAcentral